Numida meleagris (helmeted guineafowl) is the source of this 907-nucleotide long non-coding RNA. The record is from Ensembl. Lineage: Eukaryota; Metazoa; Chordata; Aves; Galliformes; Numididae.
GAAAAUCUUUGAACCGGGUUGAUGCAUGGAUCUGAAUCUACUUGUUCCUGGGCUUUAAAAGUUGGAAUUCCACUCCAUUGGAAUGACCUUGCAUCUGGGAAAGACUUUCAGCACUGACAGAAGAGCAUCCUCCUAAGGAGUACAGUCAACUCUACAUCAUGUCUGUGAGGAUAUGCUCAUCGGCUAUAGUACAUGAUAUGCUGUGUUGCUCCCAUAAAACAGAUGCUGCAAGGGAACAAAAAGGCAUGAAUUUAUUUCUAAUGUUGGAAAUAUUGAUCUAGCAGAAGAAUAGUGCAUUCAUAACCAAAAUAUCUGUAAUUUUCACUAGCAGUGCAGAUUGAAAACCAUUUAUAUUGCAAACUAUGGUAUGAAGAUGGACCCAGCUUUAGGGAGACUUUAUUUUCAAUUGUCUUAAGCACGUUUAAAACCAUUUAAUUUGUCUUUUUUAGGAUUUUUGUAUACUGAUUGUUCAUCAAUAUUUAAUUCUUUAUUUUCUGGGGAAUUUAACUCUAAAUGCUGUGCAUUAAUUUAAAUCAACUAAGAUCUAUCUAGCAUAUUUAGACCAGUAGGUUUUGACAGUCAUUUUGAGAAAUUAUUUUCUGAGAGCAGACAUUUCUGUAGCAAGUCAUUUCCAGUAUUACUGUUAGGGCCCUUGUUAUUAUUUACAUUUAUCUACCACUGAAAUCGAGUUCCUUGAAGGCUUAUUUUUAAUCUCCUUUGUAUUCAGUACAGGGCUCACUCUGCUGCUCUAAAAGACAGAAUUUAUCUGGAUUGUCAUGUCUUCUUACAGUGUUGGGCAAACUGGUAGGGUCAGUGACAUUUUGAUUGCUGUUAGCCAACAAUAUCAUAAUCUAAGAUGAUGUCUUUCAAUGUUUACAGAAGGAUCGGUGUGAAGUAGUGGUCGCAU